Molecule: transfer RNA, 100 nt
Filed under: Aulographum hederae CBS 113979
Lineage: Eukaryota; Fungi; Ascomycota; Dothideomycetes; Aulographales; Aulographaceae
Rfam family: tRNA
About the family: Transfer RNA (tRNA) molecules are approximately 80 nucleotides in length. Their secondary structure includes four short double-helical elements and three loops (D, anti-codon, and T loops). Further hydrogen bonds mediate the characteristic L-shaped molecular structure. tRNAs have two regions of fundamental functional importance: the anti-codon, which is responsible for specific mRNA codon recognition, and the 3' end, to which the tRNAs corresponding amino acid is attached (by aminoacyl-tRNA synthetases). tRNAs cope with the degeneracy of the genetic code in two manners: having more than one tRNA (with a specific anti-codon) for a particular amino acid; and 'wobble' base-pairing, i.e. permitting non-standard base-pairing at the 3rd anti-codon position.
Source: Rfam by way of RNAcentral
GUCGCUUUAGCUCACUUGGGAGAGCGCCAGACUGAAGACCACUUUAGUUAGCAUUCUGUGCGGUAUCUGGAGGUACUGUGUUCGAUCCACAGAAGCGACA